This is a long non-coding RNA of Miniopterus natalensis, 1138 nucleotides long. RefSeq lists it as uncharacterized. The record is from RefSeq and is a predicted model, not a curated record. NCBI's taxonomy places the organism in Eukaryota, Metazoa, Chordata, Mammalia, Chiroptera, Miniopteridae.
CGGGCACGUGCCAUGACUGGGAAUCAAACCCGAUCGCCUGGCUCCUAGGUCGAUGCUCAAACUCUGAGGCAAGCCCUUUAAAAGAGGAUCUAGAGCACCAAGCAGCCCUUGAGUUUGUCAGCUGGCCUGUUUUUUCUCCGAAACUAAUACAGAGGUGCCUCGGUGUUGGCCUGUCAUCGUCCCGGGGGACUGGUUGAGUUCUGAAAUGUUCGAAACCAAGUGGCGCUGUGAUGUCCAACACUUCAUCAAGUGUUUACCACAAAAUGCCAGCCAGACAGUUACACAGCAAAGAAGAAAUGAAGGAAGCCAAGCCUACCUUUUCCUUGACUGCUUCCAGUUCUGAGUCGGUGAUUUUCCACGGAGUCUCUCGCUUUAAUUUCUCAGCAGUUGUUAAAUCUUUGCAGCUUUCAUGGAGACGAUAUGGUUCUAUCAUCUCUUCAAAGACUUUCCAGCUGAAAUUGGAAUUAUAAAGGAGGCCUCAUGAUGGGAAACUAGCUCAUUAUUUCACAGAUACUCCAGGUCCGACUGGCUCUGCGGGCUGCAGAAUCCAAGCUGAAUGUCAUGUAAAUCUCUAAGAGUGCCAGGGACAUCCCGUGAGUAAAACCGUGACUAUAGCACUACCUCCCUGCCCAAGGAAAGGCAUUGCCAUCUUUGAAGCCUUGUCAACCUUCUUGGUCCUCAAUACUAACCACAAACACACAGUAGUAAUUAUUCUGUAAAUACAUUUUCUACAUAGUAUAGUCAAAGACACAGUUGUAAUGUAGACACUUUGUCCCAUAAAUGAGUUUCCACCAGCUUACUUUACAGGUCCCAUGGAAGACCUGCAUGAACUAAUGUAGGAGAUGAACUAGGCUCCUCGGGAGGUGGUUGGGGCUGCCAUCCUCACCUUCGGUCCACAUGGCAACUGCCGCUCACGGCAGGCGGGAGGCAGCGGGCAGGUGGGAGACCAGCAAGGGCUCCCACAAGUUUAAUGGCUAUAGGACAAUUUGAAUGUUUGCUGCAAAUAACACAGCUUUGUCCUUCUGCUGUUGUUUGAGCUUUUCAAAUGACUGUUGUUUGGGUGCAUGUUAUAUGUAUAUAUUUUAAAUAUAUCUUUAUUAAUUUCAGAGAGAGGAAGGGAGAGGGAGAGAGAAAAAGA